RNAcentral lists this ribosomal RNA (355 nucleotides) under uncultured bacterium. RNAcentral's name for it is "bacterial SSU rRNA". It matches the Rfam family "Bacterial small subunit ribosomal RNA", at positions 1 to 334 of the family's 1533-position model. The record is from RNAcentral.
CUAUGCGCCUUGCCAGCCCGCUCAGUCAGAGUUUGAUCCUGGCUCAGGAUGAACGCUAGCGGCAGGCUUAAUACAUGCAAGUCGAACGGUAAGUUGAGUAGCAAUACUUGACCUAGAGUGACGUACGGGUGCGUAACACGUAUGCAACCUACCCUUUACAGGCGGAUAGCUCGGGGAAACCCGAAUUAACCCGUCAUGGUAUCAUUGAAUGGCAUCAUUUGAUGAUUAAAACUCCGGUGGUAAAGGAUGGGCAUGCGUCUGAUUAGUUAGUUGGCGGGGUAAUGGCCCACCAAGACGAUGAUCAGUAGGGGAACUGAGAGGUUGAUCCCCACACUGGCACUGAGAUACGGGCCAG